AGAGUUUGAUCAUGGCUCAGAAUGAACGCUAGCGGCGUGGAUUAGGCAUGCAAGUCGAACGAGAAAGCACCUUCGGGUGUUAGUAAAGUGGCGAACGGGUGAGUAAUGCGUAAAUGAUCUACCCUCAUGACGGGGAUAACAGUUCGAAAGAACUGCUAAUACCGGAUGUGGUCCCCCAGGUUGCGGCCUGGGGAUUAAAGAUGGCCUCUAUUUUAAGCUGUCGCAUGAGGAGGAGUUUACGUGCUAUUAGCUAGUUGGUGGGGUAAUGGCCCACCAAGGCAAUGAUGGCUAGCCGGCCUGAGAGGGUGUCCGGCCACACUGGGACUGAGACACUGCCCAGACUCCUACGGGAGGCUGCAGUCGAGAAUCUUCCAUAAUGCGCGAAAGCGUGAUGGAGCGACGCCGCGUGUAUGAUGAAGGCUUUCGAGUUGUAAAACCCUGUUACCUACUAUGAACGGCGGGCGGUGAAUAGCCGUCUGACUGACGUCAACAGGCGAGAAAGCACCGGCUAAUUACGUGCCAGCAGCCGCGGUAAUACGUAUGGUGCGAACGUUGUUCGGAUUCAUUGGGCAUAAAGAGCGCGUAGGCGGUUUGGUUAGUCUGUUGUGAAAGCCCCCGGCUUAACCGGGGAACUGCAUCGGAUACUGCCGGACUCGAGUACAGUAGGGGAGAGUGGAAUUCCAGGUGGAGCGGUGAAAUGCGUAGAUAUCUGGAGGAACGCCAGUGGCGAAAGCGACUCUCUGGGCUGCUACUGACGCUGAGGUGCGAAAGCCAGGGGAGCAAACGGGAUUAGAUACCCCGGUAGUCCUGGCCCUAAACGAUGGGCACUAAGUGGAGGUGGUUCCGAUACCUUCUCUGCUGCAGCAAAUGUGUUAAGUGCCCCGCCUGGGGAGUAUGGUCGCAAGGCUAAAACUCAAAGGAAUUGACGGGGGCUCACACAAGCGGUGGAGCAUGUUGUUCAAUUCGAAGCAACGCGAAGAACCUUACCUGGGUUUGACAUGCUUAGGACAACCUAUGAAAGUAGGCUUUCUCUUCGGAGACCUUUGGACAGGUAUUGCAUGGCUGUCGUCAGCUCGUGCCGUGAGGUGUUGGGUUAAGUCCCUUAACGAGCGCAACCCUUGUCCUUAGUUGCCAGCGGGUAAAGCCGGGGACUUUAAGGAGACUGCCGGUGUUAAACCGGAGGAAGGCGGGGACGACGUCAAGUCAUCAUGGUCCUUACGUCCAGGGCCACAAACGUGCUACAAUGGCCGGUACAAAGCGAAGCGAAACCGCGAGGUCAAGCAAAUCGCAUAAAGCCGGUCCCAGUUCGGAUUGCAGGCUGAAACUCGCCUGCAUGAAGUUGGAAUCGCUAGUAAUCGCGGAUCAGCCAUGCCGCGGUGAAUGUGUUCCUGAGCCUUGUACACACCGCCCGUCAAGCCACCCAAAUAGGCCGCACCCGAAGUCGCCGACCGAACCGCAAGGACGGAGGCGCCGAAGGUGAGGUUUGUAAGGGGGACUAAGUCGUAACAAGGUAGCCG
Molecule: ribosomal RNA, 1517 nt
Filed under: uncultured prokaryote
Description: partial 16S ribosomal RNA
Rfam family: Bacterial small subunit ribosomal RNA
Source: RNAcentral